This is a non-coding RNA of Amborella trichopoda, 75 nucleotides long. The record is from Rfam. NCBI's taxonomy places the organism in Eukaryota, Viridiplantae, Streptophyta, Magnoliopsida, Amborellales, Amborellaceae.
AGGAGCCGUAUGAGAUGGAAAUCUCACGUACGGUUCUGGAACGGAGAUCCUUUGAAUGGAAUGAAUGACCGUAAC